GACGAACGCUGGCGGCGUGCUUAACACAUGCAAGUCGAACGGAAAGGCCCUGCUUGCAGGGUACUCGAGUGGCGAACGGGUGAGUAACACGUGGGUGAUCUGCCCUGCACUUCGGGAUAAGCCUGGGAAACUGGGUCUAAUACCGGAUAGGAGCCAUUUUUAGUGUGAUGGUUGGAAAGUUUUUUCGGUGUAGGAUGAGCUCGCGGCCUAUCAGCUUGUUGGUGGGGUAAUGGCCUACCAAGGUGGCGACGGGUAGCCGGCCUGAGAGGGUGGACGGCCACAUUGGGACUGAGAUACGGCCCAGACUCCUACGGGAGGCAGCAGUGGGGAAUAUUGCACAAUGGGCGCAAGCCUGAUGCAGCGACGCCGCGUGGGGGAUGACGGCAUUCGGGUUGUAAACUCCUUUCGCUAGGGACGAAGCUUUUUGUGACGGUACCUAGAUAAGAAGCACCGGCUAACUACGUG
This 465-nucleotide ribosomal RNA is filed under the name uncultured bacterium. RNAcentral describes it as "partial 16S ribosomal RNA". It matches the Rfam family "Bacterial small subunit ribosomal RNA", at positions 28 to 507 of the family's 1533-position model. The record is from RNAcentral.